AUUAGGUUUGAAAUCAGGUCUUGGUGCAAAUCCAGGCUCUACCACUCACUAGCUCCUAUGACCUUAUGCUACUCAACUGAAUGUCUGCUAGUCUCAGUUUCCUGAUCUUUAAAUGAGAUAAUAAGAGUGCCUACCUUAUUUGAUUGUUGGAAAGAUUAAGUGAAAUAACUUGUCAAGAGUUUAUAGCACAGUGCUUGGCACAAAUAAUGUUUAAUAAAUGCUACUAUUAUCAUCAUUAUCCUUCUCCUCAUUAUUAUUGAUAAAAAGGGAGUCCCAUGUGGAAGGCGGAUAAUAGAUAAGGAUAUAGCCUCCAGUAGCCUCCACUUGCCAGUAGAUAAUGAAAAGACCAGGUGUCUCUCCAGGAUGAUCAGCUAAAUCUUCAUCCAUCUGGAAGAAAGGAGACCCAUUCUGAGUAUUUCACAGUGCACCUUUGGAUCUAUCCUCAUUUUUCUCCUUCCUGCCCAAGGAAGACCCAGUCUAUGGCUCUGACUUCACAGACCUGGUUGUAUACAGGAUCAGAUUUAUUUUUGGCUUGUCACUUUGUAUCUGUGUUCCAGGUCUGUUUCAGAGGUGCCUGAGGUUUUCAGGUAGUGGGGAGAGGAGUGUGAAAAACAAAAUGUGGUCUUGGUCUAGGGUCUUUACUUUCUUCUGGCUACAAGCAAUAAAUCUGCCAUCUGCCAAAGACAUGGGACAACUAGAGGUCAAUGCUACAUAUUAAUUCACCUGUUGGACAUCUAAGAGCAGUUAAUCAGCCCCAGGAAAUAGUUCCAGAUUAAGAAAAGGAGUGAUCUGUGUUGACAGGAACUCUGAAGCAAGGACUUCCA
RNAcentral lists this long non-coding RNA (824 nucleotides) under Marmota monax (woodchuck). The record is from RNAcentral. Lineage: Eukaryota; Metazoa; Chordata; Mammalia; Rodentia; Sciuridae.